GCGGGCCCCGCCGCAGCUCGCGAUCGUUCAUCUGGCCCAGAGCCGCGGCUUCCAUCCGCAAAGGAGACAAAACAGGCCUUUUGCAAAUAGUAUAGGAGACAAAACGUAUACGUUCCCUGGGGGCCCGUGGAUAGUCGUUUAGGUAUGAGGCAAGAGAAGUGUCCGAGACAGCGAGUCGUGUCUGAAUUUGAGGAGCUGUGUCUAAAUGAGGAAAAGAAAGGCCGUCGGCAGAGACUGGAGGAGGAGGAGAGGGAGACUGGGGACAAACUAAAUGAACAUGUCAUCUAACACGCUCGGCAGCAACUGAGCACAAAGAUGGAGGAGAGGUCUCAGCAAGUGGCCCUUGAGCUAUACGUAGGAGAAGUGCUCAGCAGAUGACUUAAUGCACUGGCCAGUUCUCCCAGCAUCAUGGAUGAAGCUUGUGUGUCUAAUUCUGGAGGUUGCAGAGAAAAGUUUGAAAACGCAACUGGAAUGUGCCUGACACAAGGACACCUGCCCGAGUGUGCAGUGAGCCUGCGAGGAUAGUUCCAAGCCUGGCCGUUGUCCCACACAGGGCAAAGGGAGUUAAUACCAGAGGGCCACUCCCUGCAGGGGUCUCUGUGUGUGGCCAGAGAGCAGUGAGUCUGGCCCCCCACCAGAGCAGAGACACCCUGGCUGCCAGGUGACUCCUGCAGGCCCUCAGCAACCCCCCACCUCUCUGAGUUCAAAAGGGGACCCUGCUUCUCCUGAAAGGGGCCCUGCUGCUGCUCAUGGAAGGAAGAUGGGAGCCCCAGGACCAAAGUUCCCUGUAAUCUUUUCCAUCCACGUGCAGAAUAAAUUUUAUGUGCACCGCAGUAUGUGCACCACCAGUAGAAACACAAACCUGGCUGAGGGCGCACUGCUACUCAGUUGGGUGGCAUUUAAAUGUAUCUUGAGAGAUUGAACAAGUGCACAGCUUACAGGGGACACUACCCAGGGCCCCAUACCUAGAGGGUGGGAAGGGUCCCUGUGCCACCCCCAUUCCAGGAGAACUGCGAUACUUGGCCGGAGCCACAAGAGCUCCAUGCCAUGGGGCUGAGAUGAGACCCAGAGAGAUUCAGGCAGGAGACAGACUGACCUGCGGCUCCACCUUCCAUGUGAUGAAGCUAGUUUAUGUUUAGCUAGAAGCCAUCUUGUAUAACAGAAACCAUUUCAGCUUUUUGUCUUUGCACGUAGGCCAGAGUGAACUUUCUAUCACCCCAUGCGCCAGGCCAAGACAGAUG
Pelodiscus sinensis (Chinese soft-shelled turtle) is the source of this 1241-nucleotide non-coding RNA. The record is from RefSeq and is a predicted model, not a curated record. Lineage: Eukaryota; Metazoa; Chordata; Testudines; Trionychidae.